GACAGAGGGUGCAAACGUUGUUCGGAAUUACUGGGCGUAAAGCGCGUGUAGGCGGCCAUGCAAGUCGGAUGUGAAAGCCCUCGGCUCAACCGGGGAAGUGCACUCGAAACUGCAAGGCUAGAGUCUCGGAGAGGAUCGUGGAAUUCUCGGUGUAGAGGUGAAAUUCGUAGAUAUUCGGCGGAACACCAGUGGCGAAGGCGACUCACUGGCCCGAUACUGACGCUGAGGCGCGAAAGCGUGGGGAGCAAACAGG
Molecule: ribosomal RNA, 253 nt
Filed under: uncultured bacterium
Lineage: Bacteria
Description: partial 16S ribosomal RNA
Rfam family: Bacterial small subunit ribosomal RNA
Source: RNAcentral